This 179-nucleotide unclassified non-coding RNA is filed under the name uncultured Bartonella sp. RNAcentral's name for it is "partial 16S-23S ribosomal RNA intergenic spacer". The record is from RNAcentral. Lineage: Bacteria; Pseudomonadati; Pseudomonadota; Alphaproteobacteria; Hyphomicrobiales; Bartonellaceae.
UGAUGAUCCCAAGCCUUCUGGCGAUCUAGACAAAACAAGUCCACCGUGGGCUUUGAAAAACGCUUUCCUUGAUAAAAUUUAAGCGUUUUAUAAGAGGAUGCCGGGGAAGGUUUUCCGGUUUAUCCCGGAGGGCUUGUAGCUCAGUUGGUUAGAGCGCGCGCUUGCCCAAAGGGUUGGGA